Molecule: long non-coding RNA, 1200 nt
Organism: Lathyrus oleraceus (garden pea)
Lineage: Eukaryota; Viridiplantae; Streptophyta; Magnoliopsida; Fabales; Fabaceae
Exons: 4
Source: RefSeq, a predicted model, not a curated record
ACAUCUCACCCGGAUCAUAGCCAUCAAUGAAAACACCUGAUGAACCCAAAAGCAAAAUCUGAAAACGCGAGUUCAAAUAUCGAGCUGAAGAAACGUGAUUUCAAAUCUCCGGCGUCACCACCACGGUGCUUCGUCAUCUUCUUCACUAGCAUCUGGAUCUUCAUCGCCGGCAUCCGCAUCUUCAUCACCAGCAUCCGCCAUUGUUGCGUCAUCCUUGAAUCGCGGAUUCGUCGUUCAGCGUCGCAACUUCGUCUUCCAGACUAACUUCGAAGCAAAACAGAGUGCAGAACAUGGCUCCAAUACCUCAGAUUGAUUUGCUUAUGCGUGCGUGAAAACAUAACGAAAUCAAAAUGAUAAGCUCACUGGAUUGGAGCCUCAAUUCGAACAGGGAGAUAAUGAGGAUUGGAGGAGAGUGAAUUAUGAACUGUGUGGACUGAAGAGAGAAUGAGAGAAACUGCCAAAAAUCUCCUUGAAUACCUCUACAAUGAUGUAUUUAUAAGCUUCUGAUUUAACAGAGUUCCUGACUCUGUUACACAUUCUAUAGGUAAAUCAGCUAUGGAGUUAACACUGUCAAAGCUCAGUCAGGGUCAGACUGUUAUUAAUUCUGCUACCUAUUAAUACCUGCCAUGAAAACUGCUUAACUCAUUUGAAUUAAUUGUUAGCCCUGUAAUUUCAGAGGCAUGCCAACUCUGAUUUCAAAUAGGGACAGUUGGUGUAUUUGCUUGGGAAUGCAGGAUAUGUCAUGAGUUGUGGUUCUUUGAAGUUUUGGCCAAUGAUUCGAAGGGUGCUUUGGACUGGUGUGGGAUUACAUUGUUGUUUUGGGUUUGGCUUGGAAUUGCAAAGGGAUUCAUGUGAUACAUUAAAGCUUGGACAUUUGAUCGGUUUUGUAAUUGGUGUUAGCAUGGUAUGUGAAGUCCAAUGAAGAAACUUGCACAUGGACUGGCUCUUAUGAAUUGGUACAAUGAAGAAAAAAUAGGGUUAGGCUUAUGGAUUAGGGAAGUUUAAUUUGGUAAAGAUGUAAUAUGCAUUGUGAUUUUGGAAUGGUGAUGGUUAUGUAAUGAGAACUUGAAACUUUGUAAAAUGCAAUGUUGGAGUCUUGAUGUAAUUUUAUAUUGGAAUGGAAUUGGUUCUUUGUUGUACGAGGUUUGAAUGAACAUGUUGAAGCUUAGAUGAAAUGUUAUUUGGAACUUGAUUGGUUUA